UAACAUCUUAGCAGAGUUUUC
RNAcentral lists this non-coding RNA (21 nucleotides) under Caenorhabditis elegans. The record is from RNAcentral. Lineage: Eukaryota; Metazoa; Nematoda; Chromadorea; Rhabditida; Rhabditidae.